CGGAGGAUCCAAGCGUUAUCCGGAAUCAUUGGGUUUAAAGGGUCCGUAGGCGGUUUUGUAAGUCAGUGGUGAAAGCCCAUCGCUCAACGGUGGAACGGCCAUUGAUACUGCAAGACUUGAAUUACUAGGAAGUAACUAGAAUAUGUAGUGUAGCGGUGAAAUGCUUAGAUAUUACAUGGAAUACCAAUUGCGAAGGCAGGUUACUACUAGUGGAUUGACGCUGAUGGACGAAAGCGUGGGGAGCGAACAGGAUUAGAUACCCUGGUAGUCCACGCCGUAAACGAUGGAUACUAGCUGUUCGGAGCAAUCUGAGUGGCUAAGCGAAAGUGAUAAGUAUCCCACCUGGGGAGUACGUUCGCAAGAAUG
Molecule: ribosomal RNA, 366 nt
Filed under: uncultured organism
Description: bacterial SSU rRNA
Rfam family: Bacterial small subunit ribosomal RNA
Source: RNAcentral